GCCUUUCUACAAUAAAUGCCUUCAGACAAUGGACCAUCUCUGCUCAUCGAGAUCCGCCAUGCUGGAGCAAUGGACCAGGCUUCCCUCUAAUGAGCAGAGCAUCAAACCUCCCGCCUGGAGGCCUUCCUGUGCUCCAGCCACAGCUGCCACCAAUCCAAGCUGCCUGCCUGAACUAGCCAGACUCUCAUCACUGUGGGGUUGGCCUCAUACAAGACUCAGGAAAAUGCAAAGCAAAAUCACCAUGAGAUCUCAUCUUUUAUUUGCUGAAGUGGCUAAGUAUCAAAGACAGAGACAAAUCAACUAAGAGGCCUGCUCUGGCCUAUGAGGGUAUUUCUUGGGGGGAUCAACUGAAGGGAAAAGAACAUCUCCCCCAACCCCUGGUGUGUGGCACCUGAAGUAAAGCUGUUGCUUCUGCCUGACUGCCUUCAAUGCCUGCUGGUGAGGACAGCUACUCCGAGGCUGCCAUCCUUCACUUUAGAACCCAGAUUCUUCAGCCUUCCCCCAGAGACUGAAGACCUACUGUUCUCUGGGAAUCCCCAGGCCAGAAUGACUUGGGUAACCAGUCUCAAGGACCCAGAAGCUAAUGAGAUCCCAGGCUCUCCAGCAGGACGGUGGCCAUUACAGGGCUAACCUGGACUAUCGACCAAGGUGGAGAUUUCUUGACUGAGGUUGAAAGACCCCAAAAUGAAAAGAUCUCAGUCAACCAGUCACUUCAA
Long non-coding RNA from Mus musculus (house mouse), 716 nucleotides. RefSeq annotates it as predicted gene, 40684. Lineage: Eukaryota; Metazoa; Chordata; Mammalia; Rodentia; Muridae. The record is from RefSeq and is a predicted model, not a curated record. The transcript is spliced from 4 exons.